Leopardus geoffroyi (Geoffroy's cat) is the source of this 3236-nucleotide long non-coding RNA. RefSeq lists it as uncharacterized. The record is from RefSeq and is a predicted model, not a curated record. The transcript has 4 exons. NCBI's taxonomy places the organism in Eukaryota, Metazoa, Chordata, Mammalia, Carnivora, Felidae.
GGCAAAGACAUAUACAUAAUUCUCCCCUCCAGAAUCCUGGCGAUGCUUCCUGAGCAUGUGAGAAAACCGGCUGGCUUUGCAUGUACACAGAGGCAAAGCCAAGAUUUUGUGAGCCUGGGGUAAGAUUCCCAGCCCCGGACAUCACUGCAAGGGAGCUCCUGUGCAUGCGAUUGCUCUCCAUUAUAAACCGCAAAUGCGACUGGGACCAAAGGAGUUAGCUCAGGAGCUGGUGUAGAAUCUACCCAUCUUUCGAUUUGGGGAAAGGGGAGAUGAAAAGUCAUUUCUCCUUUCUCUGGAUUCAUGCAAUCCUUUAACUGUAAUUGUCUCUCCCUGCUUGCUCCAGUUGUUGAUGUAUUGCCUCUCGGCUCCAAGCGCACCCACCCUUUUUUGUCUUGCUUUGUCCUCCUGAAGCCGAACUCUGCGCCUUGCAUUUCUCCGUAAUGGCCGCCUGCCUGGUACACUCUACCAAUAGAGGGCGCCGUGAAGCGGGAGGUAGAAGAAGGUGCGCUCCGUUCUGUUUCCCAAGCAGUUGCUAGCAAAUCCGGGUGCAGAGGAUCCCAGCAGUUUUCCCUGCAGUGGUGGCAGCUCUCAGUGUCCUGGGGUGCCUGAUAGGAUUGACCCCAUGACCAGACCCUGCCAGUGAAUUGUGAGAGGAAAUGAGAGUGUUACUUUUGGGCACAAUGAUGAGUUGCUAGAAUGGGACACUCCUGAAUGCUCUCUUCCUGUGCCACGAGGAGCAGCCAUGUUCCAGGUGAUGGCCGCUCUGUCAAUGUAGAUCCUGCAGAGAUGACAUGGGGUAGAUCCCCCACUUGACUCAUGAGAGACCAAGCAAGAAAUACAGAUUUGUUGUGUUAAUCCACUGAGAUUGUGGGGGGUCACCAUGAAGCACAACCGAUCCUUUCUUGGCACAAAGAUCAGACAUGAGAAUCACGUGCAUUUAUAAACAUUGGAUGGAGAGGUCUGACAACAUUAAAGCACUCUACCCAAAGAAGGAAUUAGCAUCCCUGAAUUAGCAGGUUUGGGAGUGAUACACUCCUGUCUCAACUGGAAUAGUCCAAGAGGUAGCUUCCUGCAACAUCUCCAGCUCUGAUUCCUGCUCAAGGUUAUGCUCCUGAUGGUUGCGCUGCUGGAAAGAUGAGACAAACCACCAGGGUUGAAAGUCUGUGCUUCAGAGCCGCCAAGGAUGUGUGACUAACCGUGUGCGUCUGGAGGGAUAUCUCUAUAUCACUUAGCAUUUAUCCUUGAGGCCAUCUAGCAGAUGCUAAACACCGCCACCGAACCGUAAGGUAACACUAUAAAUUUCUUGGUUGUAAAUAUAGGAAAUUGUGCUGUUUUUUUGAGGUAUGCUCAUUAAAUCACCAGGUGAAGUGCCUAAUGCCAUCCUGGGAAUAGAAAGGAUCGUGUUUGGUGCCUAAAAAUAAGACGGAUUCACCGUGGGGUGCUAAUGUAUGUAGCUACAAGAAAAGCAGCCACCGGGAGGCACAGCUCCUGUAUAUGCAAGAGAAGAGACCGCAUUCACACUGUUAAUGGCAGCUUUUCACGGCCUCUGGAGCGCUGCCAUCCCAAACUGCUCCAGGUAUAGAGGUGACGGGUUAGAGGAAAGUGUUCUUUUCUCCCUCUCUCUGUGAUCCUCCCGCCGUGCUCACUAACCCACAGCACCAACAGGAGUAUGGAAUCCACUAAACUGAAGACUCCACAACUGUAACCUGAAACUUGGUCAGUGAUGGAAUCUCUCACCUCAUCCAGUUACUUGGGGUCUAUUGUUCUGGUAAUUAUAUCUUAAAAUGUUGGACAUUUUCCAAAAGGCCAGCCAGCACUGUGAGAAAGAAGAGUAUGUCCUGGGGUGGGUAGCACUGGUCAUAUUUGACUUGACACGAGCUGCUUUGUCCCUGGCUGCCAGCAGUAACCCCCACCCCCAGGACCCGGAGGCCCCAGUCGUCCUGCGCCUCUGGGAAGGAGACAAAGGCAGGAAUGUCUGUGGCAGCUGGCUGAACCCAAGUGUGUGUAUGUAUGUGGAGGCGGGCAGGAUGGUCUCAGAGUUCGGGUUCUUAGACGAUCAAGAGAAAGGAAAAAGAAGGCUUUGAAGGGAAAAAGCGUUAUUGACAAGAGGUAACCAAUUGAUCCUUUCAGCAUGUUUUUCUUCUUGACUCUAGAAGUCCCAGUGCGAGUCAGACUGGGGUUACCUUCCCAGCAAGAUCGGCCCCACACUCUGGCUAUGGUUUUACAGGGUUCUGGGCCCCAAACUGAGCUGGCCACUGAAAACACCUAGGGAACCUAAAAGGCAUUAUUCAAGCCCCUGCUCCUAAGCUACUGAAACAGUCUGGGCCCCCGGAAAUAAUAUUUUACACUAAACAUCCUUGGGUGUUUCUAAUAGCCAGGCAGGUUCUGGAGUUCAUGCCAUCCCCCAUUUGGGAACAGAAGCCUUAGUAAAUUAGUAAAAAUUAAAAAAAAAUAUGUUACUAAAAACAGGAAAACAAAACGCACCAGCACCCCUACCACCCAGAGUUAUACUGCCAGCACUUGGUGUGCAGAACCACUUCCUGCCAGAUAGAUAGAUUCCCUGUCUCUGUUUUGGACAGGCUGGUGGCACCACCAUUUUGCCAUCUGCCCACCUGUGGCCUCACUGAGUGAUGCACCAGCGGAGCAGGUACCUUGUCCCUUCUGCAAUGUAGGUUUGAGGCUCAGGGCCCCUCUGAAAAGCUGAGCUGGGGUCAGCAGGUUGACGGGGUGAAAGAAAGCCUGUGCAUCAUGGAUUUGCUUUGGUGGCACUGUGCCACCAGCUGCCAGAACCCCUGCCACAUUAGCAGCACCACAGCCACUGGCACCAGCUUAGAAUCACCGUGUCCAACCUGCCAGAGACCGCCUGGUGGCCAUCUUAUAAACCAGGAAACCAAAGUUCAGGAAAGUUCUGUGAAGCCCAGCUAACUACCUUCCUGGCUAUGCAUUCUAAUAUCCCUGGAAUGUAACUAUGGUUCUGGCAAAGGAAUCAGGUGACUCCUAAGGGACGUGAUUAAUGAAUGGGCUACCAAAACUGGUUGGGCAAAGCUCAGCUUAAGUUUGUGUUAAAUCCUUUAUGACUCUGGCUCACCUAUUUGUAGAACUUAACUGUGGCUUAGUGGGGAGAAAUCCAUCCAAUGGACCCAACAAGGGUUGUAUUCCUACAUUUGUGUGUGUGUGAAAAUACUCCCACAUAUCCCUUCUUCCCUUUUUUUUUUUUAACGUUUAUUUAUCUUGAG